This 580-nucleotide ribosomal RNA is filed under the name Candida tropicalis. Its description in RNAcentral is "eukaryotic LSU rRNA". It matches the Rfam family "Eukaryotic large subunit ribosomal RNA", at positions 109 to 664 of the family's 3401-position model. Lineage: Eukaryota; Fungi; Ascomycota; Pichiomycetes; Serinales; Debaryomycetaceae. The record is from RNAcentral.
UCAAAUUUGAAAUCUGGCUCUUUCAGAGUCCGAGUUGUAAUUUGAAGAAGGUAUCUUUGGGUCUGGCUCUUGUCUAUGUUUCUUGGAACAGAACGUCACAGAGGGUGAGAAUCCCGUGCGAUGAGAUGAUCCAGGCCUAUGUAAAGUUCCUUCGAAGAGUCGAGUUGUUUGGGAAUGCAGCUCUAAGUGGGUGGUAAAUUCCAUCUAAAGCUAAAUAUUGGCGAGAGACCGAUAGCGAACAAGUACAGUGAUGGAAAGAUGAAAAGAACUUUGAAAAGAGAGUGAAAAAGUACGUGAAAUUGUUGAAAGGGAAGGGCUUGAGAUCAGACUUGGUAUUUUGUAUGUUACUUCUUCGGGGGUGGCCUCUACAGUUUAUCGGGCCAGCAUCAGUUUGGGCGGUAGGAGAAUUGCGUUGGAAUGUGGCACGGCUUCGGUUGUGUGUUAUAGCCUUCGUCGAUACUGCCAGCCUAGACUGAGGACUGCGGUUUAUACCUAGGAUGUUGGCAUAAUGAUCUUAAGUCGCCCGUCUUACCCCCGGAACCCAAAAAAAUCAAAUUGGUUCCACUACUGGGGUCCUUAC